Molecule: long non-coding RNA, 1153 nt
Organism: Arabidopsis lyrata subsp. lyrata
Lineage: Eukaryota; Viridiplantae; Streptophyta; Magnoliopsida; Brassicales; Brassicaceae
Exons: 3
Source: RefSeq, a predicted model, not a curated record
AACAUUAUAGAUCAGAGAUUUUCGUUUCUGAUACGUUAUCGAUUUCCGGAAUCCUUUCUAAUGAAUUGAUUUCAAAUUUGUAUUUUUGGUAGAAAUUUCGUUGUUAAGGAUCUCUCUUUCUUGUUACUUGAGAUGUUCUCGAUGGCUUAGUUCUUGGUUUGAAACUCAUUUGUUCUUGGCUGAGCAAUUGUUUUAUGGCUUGCAAUUUAAGGUUGGAGAAGUCAUCUUUAUACUGAAACUUGCAAGGUUUGCAGGCAAAGGCUUGCUUUUUCAUGUUUAUAAUGAUGGCUUCUAUUGCAGGAGAACGUAAUGCCAACUCUUACCAUGACUUUGCAACCUAUUACUUUCCUUAUGGUAGAACUUAUGUUAAUUUCAAACUUUGAAGACAGUAAAUGCUGGUGGGCAGCCAAAAUCUGAAUCAUAUGACUUAAAGAAAUUCCAUGUUGGAGAUAUGAUUAUUGGGAGAAUCAAACGUGUGGAGCCCUAUGGCUUAUUCAUUGACAUUGAUCAAACUGGCAUGGUAAUGAUCUAGUUUCAUGCUGCAAGGUGAAAAAGAAGACUAUAGCUGCAAGACGGAGUCAAGUGAAAAUGAUUAUACUCCCAGAGGCUAACCGGAAAGAUUUUGAUGAGCUGGCGGAAAACGUGAAAGAAGUGCUUGAUGGAAACAAGAGGGAUUGUCAUUUUGGGUCUCACACAUAAAAACUAUAGAAAGUAAAGCAAUAGUGUAGUAUGUGUGUGCUUUGUCUAAUCAAAGACUGAUCAAUGAUAUGUCUGUUCAAUUUUACACAUUGAAGAUGGAGAAGUAGCAGCACACACCAAGAAUCGUUUGACAUGGCAACAUGGUCCUUUGUGGUACUCACUGCUUCUCCUCAACUUCACGGCCAUUAUCACUAUUCUCUUUGGUACCUUUGUGGUACUCACUGCUUCUGCUAAGUCUUCUUCCUUCCUCCUCCAAUGAUGAUACUGUUGACUACAGCUAUUCUGCUAUAUAAAACACUUUCUACAUUCCACUUGCAUUUGUAUUGCCCCUUAUACUGUCAACACUCCAUUUAUAUGUGAUGCAUUUGUAGCGAAAAACUUUGUGUUUUACGAGUUUGCUACUUCUGGUGUGUAAAAUAUUUGAUAUUAGUGAUGAAUUUUUCUUUAUUUUCUU